GGUCACUGCUAUUGGGAUUCGACUAAGCCAUGCGAGUCGAGAGGGUUCGGCCCUCGGCAGACGGCUCAGUAACACGUGGAUAAUCUGCCCUUAGGUGGAGGAUAACCUCGGGAAACUGAGAAUAAUACUCCAUAGAUCUAGGAUGCUGGAAUGCGUCUAGGUUGAAAGUUCCGGCGCCUAAGGAUGAGUCUGCGGACUAUCAGGCUGUAGUCAGGGUAAAGACCUGACUAACCUACGACGGAUACGGGUUGUGAGAGCAAUAACCCGGAGACGAUAUCUGAGACACGAUAUCGGGCCCUACGGGGCGCAGCAGGCGCGAAAACCUUCACACUGUGCGAAAGCACGAUGAGGGGAUCCCAAGUGCUUGCACGUAAGUGUAAGCUGUUUCUGUGUCUAAAAAGCAUAGAGAGUAAGGGCUGGGUAAGACGGGUGCCAGCCGCCGCGGUAAUACCUGCAGCUCAAGUGGUGACCGCUAUAUUGGGCCUAAAACGUUCGUAGCCGGUUUAGUAAAUGCCUGGGUAAAUCGUGUAGCUUAACUAUACGAAUUCCGGGUAGACUGCUAAACUCGAGACCGGGAGAGGCUAGAGGUACUUCUGGGGUAGAGGUGAAAUUCUGUAAUCCUAGGGGGACCACCAGUGGCGAAGGCGUCUAGCUAGAACGGGUCUGACGGUGAGGGACGAAGCCCUGGGGCGCAAACCGGAUUAGAUACCCGGGUAGUCCAGGGUGUAAACGCUGCUUGCUUGAUGUUAGUCGGGCUCUGAGCCUGAUUAGUGUCGGAGAGAAGUUGUUAAGCAAGCUGCCUGGGAAGUACGGUCGCAAGGCUGAAACUUAAAGGAAUUGGCGGGGGAGCACAGCAACGGGUGGAGCGUGCGGUU
RNAcentral lists this ribosomal RNA (875 nucleotides) under uncultured euryarchaeote. RNAcentral describes it as "bacterial SSU rRNA". It matches the Rfam family "Archaeal small subunit ribosomal RNA", at positions 21 to 902 of the family's 1478-position model. The record is from RNAcentral. Lineage: Archaea; Methanobacteriati; Methanobacteriota.